GACGAACGCUGGCGGCGUGCCUAAUACAUGCAAGUCGAGCGAGCGGAACCAACAGAUUUACUUCGGUAAUGACGUUGGGAAAGCGAGCGGCGGAUGGGUGAGUAACACGUGGGGAACCUGCCCCUAAGUCUGGGAUACCAUUUGGAAACAGGUGCUAAUACCGGAUAAUAAAGCAGAUCGCAUGAUCAGCUUUUGAAAGGCGGCGUAAGCUGUCGCUAAGGGAUGGCCCCGCGGUGCAUUAGCUAGUUGGUAAGGUAACGGCUUACCAAGGCGACGAUGCAUAGCCGAGUUGAGAGACUGAUCGGCCACAUUGGGACUGAGACACGGCCCAAAACUCCUACGGGAGGCAGCAGUAGGGAAUCUUCCACAAUGGACGCAAGUCUGAUGGAGCAACGCCGCGUGAGUGAAGAAGGUUUUCGGAUCGUAAAGCUCUGUUGUUGGUGAAGAAGGAUAGAGGUAGUAACUGGCCUUUAUUUGACGGUAAUCAACCAGAAAGUCACGG
This 502-nucleotide ribosomal RNA is filed under the name uncultured bacterium. RNAcentral describes it as "bacterial SSU rRNA". It matches the Rfam family "Bacterial small subunit ribosomal RNA", at positions 28 to 496 of the family's 1533-position model. The record is from RNAcentral.